CCUACGGGUGGCAGCAGUCGAGAAUCAUUCACAAUGGGGGAAACCCUGAUGCAGCGACGCCGCGUGAGUGAAGAAGUAUUUCGGUAUGUAAAGCUCUAUCAGCAGGGAAGAAGAAAGACGGUACCUGCAUAAGAAGCCCCGGCUAACUACGUGCCAGCAGCCGCGGUAAUACGUAGGGGGCAAGCGUUAUCCGGAUUUAAUGGGUGUAAAGGGAGCGUAGACGGCUGGGCAAGUCUGAAGUGAAAGCCCAGGGCUCAACCCUGGGACUGCUUUGGAAACUGUGGAGCUAGAGUGCUGGAGAGGUCAGGGGAAUUCCUAGUGUAGCGGUGAAAUGCGUAGAUAUAAGGAAGAACACCAGUGGCGAAGGCGGCUGACUGGACAGUAACUGACGUUGAGGCUCGAAAGCGUGGGGAGCAAACAGGAUUAGAUACCCUUGUAGUC
This 441-nucleotide ribosomal RNA is filed under the name uncultured bacterium. RNAcentral describes it as "partial 16S ribosomal RNA". It matches the Rfam family "Bacterial small subunit ribosomal RNA", at positions 338 to 795 of the family's 1533-position model. The record is from RNAcentral.